Etheostoma cragini (Arkansas darter) is the source of this 179-nucleotide long non-coding RNA. RefSeq lists it as uncharacterized. The record is from RefSeq and is a predicted model, not a curated record. NCBI's taxonomy places the organism in Eukaryota, Metazoa, Chordata, Actinopteri, Perciformes, Percidae. The transcript is spliced from 4 exons.
UUCAGAAAUGCUGCAUGCCAUGUUAUACCAUGAUUAUAGGGAAGUUUGAACAUAUUGAACACCUGUACAAAAUAAUGAAAAUUCAUUGGUAUCUCUACAAAAUAUCUGGUAAGAUUUGACAUUUUGAGGGCCAAUAGAACAGGUUUUAUUAUAAUUUAAAAUUUCAGUGUUAUGAUUAU